RNAcentral lists this ribosomal RNA (414 nucleotides) under Triticum aestivum (bread wheat). RNAcentral describes it as "partial small subunit ribosomal RNA". Lineage: Eukaryota; Viridiplantae; Streptophyta; Magnoliopsida; Poales; Poaceae. The record is from RNAcentral.
GUCAUAAUUAUUCUUGAGUCUCUUCCUGAAGAGUUUGAACAAUUUAAGGUCAACUAUAACUCUCUAAAGGAAAAAUGGCCACUCUCUGAGAUGACCGCAAGGAUCGUCCAGGAGGAAGAAAGGAUCAUGAGGCAGAAGAAAGACCAUGUCUUUCAUGUUGGCUCUAACAAGAGAAAGCAUGACGGACAAGGUUUCCCUAAGCCUCAGAAAAGGCAAGUCAAGAAAGAAGGCACUAAGCCAUUCAACCCUAAGGCAUUCAAGGGUAAAGAAGCCGGUGGUUCUUCUGCUCCUAGCAGCUCCACUGCUGGAGAAAAUGCUUGUAACUUCUGCAAAGAAGAGGGACACUAUCAAAGGGACUGCCCAGGCUUUCUAAAAUGGAUGAACAAAAGAGGGAUUCGAUACGAUCCAAACCAU